Molecule: transfer RNA, 71 nt
Filed under: Gromphadorhina grandidieri
Lineage: Eukaryota; Metazoa; Arthropoda; Insecta; Blattodea; Blaberidae
Description: tRNA-Lys
Source: RNAcentral
CAUCAGAUGGCUGAAAGCAAGUGGUGGUCUCUUAAACCAAUUUAUAGUAAAUUAGUGUCUACUUCUGAUGA